This 299-nucleotide unclassified non-coding RNA is filed under the name fungal sp. RNAcentral describes it as "partial internal transcribed spacer region". The stretch from base 1 to 46 matches the Rfam family "Eukaryotic small subunit ribosomal RNA", at positions 1786 to 1831 of the family's 1831-position model. RNAcentral also lists the same sequence under 1 other name. The record is from RNAcentral. Lineage: Eukaryota; Fungi.
AAGUCGUAACAAGGUAACCGUAGGUGAACCUGCGGUUGGAUCAUUAAAAACACCAAGCGUGUCCGAGUAAAAUUGGACUACGUUCCCUCACGGGUAAAAACAUAUUGUGAACCGUCAUGUCUCUGGCGGGUGGGCAGUGAAAACUGCUUGUCAGCACAUGGGUGAAAGCCCGGUGCCGUGGACAGCCCGUCAACCAGCCCGGACAUUUUUGUCUGGGUUACCCUACCUUUAAUUGAUGCCUGACAAUACUUGUAUGAAAAAUUACAAAACAACUUUUGGCAACGGAUCUCUUGGCUCUC